GUUUGAACGAGGGAUAAUAAUCCCGUCAUAAAAUGCUGGACUAUUUUAUGGGAUAGUCACCAAUGUAAUCAUUCAGCCAUCUGGUUUACCAAAAAUGGCCGAAGUAGACACUACAUAAUUUUCUGUUAUAUUAUCCGAUAUAUAUGGUGGGAUAACUAAUUCCACGGAUAUCCCAAUCCAUGUGAUAACUUAGUCUACCCCAAUGCCCAUACCAAACAACCCCUUAAAGGUCAGGCAUUUCAGUGGGUUUCCCAUUCAUGUCACUGAUUCAUUUUUUAGUUUUUAUUUACAGUAGUGUUCAGUUGCCUCCCGUAGCGGCUAGAACAGGUUUCCGGUAAGUUCGCUCAUCAAAACUUAGGCAAAUAGAACAAGAAAUCAUCUACUGGUUGAUCUUCAGGAACUUUUCUGACUUCAUUAACCCCUAAGCCACA
This 431-nucleotide unclassified non-coding RNA is filed under the name Hevea brasiliensis (rubber tree). The record is from RNAcentral. Lineage: Eukaryota; Viridiplantae; Streptophyta; Magnoliopsida; Malpighiales; Euphorbiaceae.